GGCCGCGGGAAUUCGAUUCAGGCCUAACACAUGCAAGUCGAGCGGUAGAGAGAAGCUUGCUUCUCUUGAGAGCGGCGGACGGGUGAGUAAUGCCUAGGAAUCUGCCUGGUAGUGGGGGAUAACGUUCGGAAACGGACGCUAAUACCGCAUACGUCCUACGGGAGAAAGCAGGGGACCUUCGGGCCUUGCGCUAUCAGAUGAGCCUAGGUCGGAUUAGCUAGUUGGUGAGGUAAUGGCUCACCAAGGCUACGAUCCGUAACUGGUCUGAGAGGAUGAUCAGUCACACUGGAACUGAGACACGGUCCAGACUCCUACGGGAGGCAGCAGUGGGGAAUAUUGGACAAUGGGCGAAAGCCUGAUCCAGCAAGGCCGCGUGUGUGAAGAAGGUCUUCGGAUGUAAAUCAAAGGAAGUUGGGAGGAAGGGCAUUAACCUAAUACGUUAG
Molecule: ribosomal RNA, 443 nt
Filed under: uncultured bacterium
Lineage: Bacteria
Description: bacterial SSU rRNA
Rfam family: Bacterial small subunit ribosomal RNA
Source: RNAcentral